UGAGGAACAUGACUUUCGGCGGGGGAUAGCCGGCCCAACGGCCGGGUAAUACCGCGUACGACCUUUUGGGGACAUCCCUGAUUGGUGAAAGCAGCAAUGCGCCGAAAGAGUGCCUCGCGGCCUAUCAGCUAGUUGGUGGGUAAUGGCUCACCAAGGCGACGACGGGUAGCUGGUCUGAGAGGAUGGCCAGCCACAGUUGGGACUGAGACACGGCCCAGACCUCCGUACGGGAGNAGCG
Molecule: ribosomal RNA, 238 nt
Filed under: uncultured bacterium
Lineage: Bacteria
Description: partial 16S ribosomal RNA
Rfam family: Bacterial small subunit ribosomal RNA
Source: RNAcentral